UGGACUGUGUAUGUGUGCAAUUCAAAGGUUGAAUUGGUAAGACAAAAUAUUUAAGUGCCUUUGAAUGGGGUAUGGUAGUAAGCGCCAGCUGCAUCCGUUUUAGUGUCAAAAACUGCAACGCUCAACAAUUUCCUGUGUGUAUCAAGACCACCCAAAGGACAUCGAGCCAACUUCACACAACUGUGGGACGCAUUGGAUUCAACAUUGCUCAGCAUCCCUGUGGAACGCUUGACACCUUGUAGAGUCCAUGCCCCAACGAAUUGAGGCUGUUCAGAGGGAAAAUGGGCUGCAACUCAAUAUUAGGAAGGUGUUCCUAAUGUUUUGUACACUAACUCCAGGGUUUUUUCUGGAACAAAAUGGGGCUUAGGUGGGGAGUGGCGGCAACGAUUUAGCAGCAGCGGCCCGCUGAAUAUGGGAAACACUGCCUUAUCGUCUUCCCCCACACCAUAUGAUCCCAGGAGGGAUGUCAUGUGUGAGCUUUCCCAUGCUCAGCCUAAAGGGUCAGCUACGGGCACAUGAUGAAAAUGCUGCAGACGCCAAGCUUGUUGCUAGUGUGUGUAGAUGGGCCUGUCCUGUGUGAGUAAGUUGGUCUCUGGUGUGCCCAUGCAUGUGAGAUUGCUGGCCUGCCUAAUUGUGACUGGUCCAAAAAUUUACCACGAACCCUGUAAUGAAGAAAAUGUAUAUUUGGAAACAGGAAAGGCCAUAAAUGUAAGGUUGAGUGACUGACUAGCAUUGACCUGACAAUAAUGUGUUAGCUUACUGUCAUUGGAAUUGAUUGCUGAAAACUGACAGUGUGCAACUUCACAACGUGGAGGGCCCAUGAAGACAAUAUGCCCUCUGCUGGAGAUCUAAACAACAGUGUAAAUCACCAUUAUACUUUUCAUCCUCUUUAUGCAAGACAUGUAGGAUCCCAAGAAAGAGAGUCCAUAUUGCUUACAAAUAGAUUUCUAUAAGGAGCCGAUAUUAAGGUGGGGUCUGUUUGGUCUGUCUACCACCGCCUACCUCAGAAACAUAAAUAACACUUGGACAAAUAUAGAGGAUAAAAGUCUGUGUGUGUGUGUGAGUGUACUGCUAUAUUAAAU
Molecule: long non-coding RNA, 1082 nt
Organism: Oncorhynchus keta (chum salmon)
Lineage: Eukaryota; Metazoa; Chordata; Actinopteri; Salmoniformes; Salmonidae
Exons: 3
Source: RefSeq, a predicted model, not a curated record